UAGGGAAUAUUGGUCAAUGGAGGCAACUCUGAACCAGCCAUGCCGCGUGCAGGACUAAGGCCCUAUGGGUCGUAAACUGCUUUUGAAUGGGAAGAAAUGUAUCUACGUGUAGAUAUUUGACGGUACCAUUAGAAUAAGGAUCGGCUAACUUCGUG
RNAcentral lists this ribosomal RNA (155 nucleotides) under uncultured bacterium. RNAcentral's name for it is "partial 16S ribosomal RNA". It matches the Rfam family "Bacterial small subunit ribosomal RNA", at positions 355 to 507 of the family's 1533-position model. The record is from RNAcentral.